GACUGGGCUACUGAUCCCUGAUCUUGUGCUGUGUUUUUGUGUGAAGGGAGGGACAAUUCCCUGCUCCACUUUCUGAGUUUGGAAUUGAAGACAGUGUCAAGAGGGGCUGGAGACUGAGGAGCAGCAGCUUGUUUUGGAACUGGCCAGCUACGGCACACAGUGUCCCACUGCUGCUCACUGCCAAAAUGGUCACCUUUAACCUUCCCCUCCAGAUCCUGAGGAAAAGGCUUUAACCUGUUUUGGCACUGGGUGGUACAGGUACUCUAACCACUGAGUACUAAAAUGGCCAGGCCCAGCCCUCAUCUCCAACUUGGAACUGGAAAGGGGAACAGAGAUCUUCCUGAAGUCGUGCUGUACCCUCCAGAGCUCAUUGCAGCUGUACGAGAUAAUCCCCACUCCUUCUCAACUCCAUGCUGGAGAGGAAGGCACAGUGCAUCUUCUUUCAGAGAAUUUCUCAUUCUUACAGAGCUGACAACUCUGUUCUGUUUAUGGAAGAACAGACAAAGCUCAAAUGGGGAAAUGAACGAACAAAGAUGGGCGAUAUGCUUUCUCAGUUUUGACCUAUUUCUGGCAAUUACUAUUCAAAACACUAUGGCUGCAACCCUGCACCCUAUGUAUAAAGCACCAGGCUCACUGAUAAUAAAUAAAUGAGCACAGCAGAU
This is a long non-coding RNA of Rhineura floridana, 662 nucleotides long. RefSeq lists it as uncharacterized. NCBI's taxonomy places the organism in Eukaryota, Metazoa, Chordata, Lepidosauria, Squamata, Rhineuridae. The record is from RefSeq and is a predicted model, not a curated record. The transcript is spliced from 2 exons.